Molecule: ribosomal RNA, 484 nt
Filed under: uncultured bacterium
Lineage: Bacteria
Description: partial 16S ribosomal RNA
Rfam family: Bacterial small subunit ribosomal RNA
Source: RNAcentral
AUUGAACGCUGGCGGCAGGCCUAACACAUGCAAGUCGAGCGGAUGAAGGGAGCUUGCUCCUGGAUUCAGCGGCGGACGGGUGAGUAAUGCCUAGGAAUCUGCCUGGUAGUGGGGGAUAACGUCCGGAAACGGGCGCUAAUACCGCAUACGUCCUGAGGGAGAAAGUGGGGGAUCUUCGGACCUCACGCUAUCAGAUGAGCCUAGGUCGGAUUAGCUAGUUGGUGGGGUAAAGGCCUACCAAGGCGACGAUCCGUAACUGGUCUGAGAGGAUGAUCAGUCACACUGGAACUGAGGCACGGUCCAGACUCCUACGGGAGGCAGCAGUGGGGAAUAUUGGACAAUGGGCGAAAGCCUAAUCCAGCCAUGCCGCGUGUGUGAAGAAGGUCUUCGGAUUGUAAAGCACUUUAAGUUGGGAGGAAGGGCAGUAAGUUAAUACCUUGCUGUUUUGACGUUACCAACAGAAUAAGCACCGGCUAACUUCGUG